CCCCUAGAUGUUCUGGGCCGCACGCGCGCUACACUGAACAGUUCAACAAGUCUUAACCUUGGCCGGUAGGUCUGGGUAAUCUUUGAACGCUGUUCGUGACUGGGAUAGACCUUUGCAAUUAUGGGUCUUCAACGAGGAAUUCCUAGUAAACGCAAGUCAUCAGCUUGCAUUGAUUACGUCCCUGCCCUUUGUACACACCGCCCGUCGCACCUACCGAUUGAAUGGUCCGGUGAAAUCUCGGGACGGCGGCUUGGUCGCUUGCGUCCGACUGCUGAAACUUGAUUAAACCAUAUCAUUUAGAGGAAGGUGAAGUCGUAACA
RNAcentral lists this ribosomal RNA (320 nucleotides) under uncultured eukaryote. RNAcentral describes it as "partial 18S ribosomal RNA". It matches the Rfam family "Eukaryotic small subunit ribosomal RNA", at positions 1470 to 1796 of the family's 1831-position model. The record is from RNAcentral.